AGAAGGUGUCUUCCAGGAACUGGCAGUAGGACUGGGAGUUGAGCUUGACUCCAUCCUCAACCCGAAAAGGCCCCACAAGCUCAUCUUUGAUGAUACCAGCCCAAACCAGUACUCCACCGCCACCUUGCUGGCGUCUGAGUCGGACUGGAGCUCUCUGCCCUUUACCAAUCCAGCCACGGGCCCAUCCAUCUGGCCCAUCAAGACUCACUCUCAUUUCAUCAGUCCAUAAAACCUUAGAAAAAUCAGUCUUGAGAUAUUUCUUGGCCCAGUCUUGACGUUUCAGCUUGUGUGUCUU
Non-coding RNA from Pelobates cultripes (western spadefoot toad), 295 nucleotides. Lineage: Eukaryota; Metazoa; Chordata; Amphibia; Anura; Pelobatidae. The record is from the annotation of a GenBank genome assembly.